GUGAAUCAUUGACUAUUUGAACGCAUUGCACCGCCCUUUUGGGAGUGGUACACCCGAUUGAGUGUCAUAAUGACCUUCAGGCUGGGAUACUUGGUCAUUCGAUUGGCAGGUAUAUGGAUGUUGCACACCAUCUCUUAUCCAGGUGGCAGAGGUGUCUGUAUACAAGUAUCUUGGGCUCUGGCUUCGAGGCUGCACGGUAUGUGAAUAUCGCGUGUCUUGAGAUGCAUUAGUGAUGACCAUGAGAGCGAGUCAGACUCUGUGUAAUAAUGAUGUGACGCAGAGGAGUGCUUGGGGCACACUUGUUCCUUGUGGCAUGGCUUCAAACUUGCCCCCGGGCAAAACACCCGCAGAGGCACUUGCCCGCGCGACAUUAUGAAAUUGGCCUCAGUUGGGUGGGAUGACCCGCUUGAUUUAAGCAUAUUAUUCAGCGGAGGAAAAGA
This 440-nucleotide ribosomal RNA is filed under the name Tulasnellaceae sp. CBS 118625. RNAcentral's name for it is "eukaryotic LSU rRNA". Lineage: Eukaryota; Fungi; Basidiomycota; Agaricomycetes; Cantharellales; Tulasnellaceae. The record is from RNAcentral.